UAGGGAAUCUUCGGCAAUGGACGAAAGUCUGACCGAGCAACGCCGCGUGAGUGAAGAAGGUUUUCGGAUCGUAAAACUCUGUUGGUAGAGAAGAACGUUGGUGAGAGUGGAAAGCUCAUCAAGUGACGGUAACUACCCAGAAAGGGACGGCUAACUACGUGCCAGCAGCCGCGGUAAUACGUAGGUCCCCGAGCGUUGUCCGGAUUUAUUGGGCGUAAAGCGAGCGCAGGUGGUUUAUUAAGUCUGGUGUAAAAGGCAGUGGCUCAACCAUUGUAUGCAUUGGAAACUGGUAGACUUGAGUGCAGGAGAGGAGAGUGGAAUUCCAUGUGUAGCGGUGAAAUGCGUAGAUAUAUGGAGGAACACCGGUGGCGAAAGCGGCUCUCUGGCCUGUAACUGACACUGAGGCUCGAAAGCGUGGGGAGCAAACAGGAUUAGAUACCCUGGUAGUCCACGCCGUAAACGAUGAGUGCUAGAUGUAGGGAGCUAUAAGUUCUCUGUAUCGCAGCUAACGCAAUAAGCACUCCGCCUGGGGGAGUACGACCGC
This 544-nucleotide ribosomal RNA is filed under the name uncultured bacterium. RNAcentral's name for it is "partial 16S ribosomal RNA". It matches the Rfam family "Bacterial small subunit ribosomal RNA", at positions 355 to 889 of the family's 1533-position model. The record is from RNAcentral.